UGAUCCCCCCACCUCGGCCUCCCAAAGUGCUGGGAUUACAGGCAUGAGCCACUGUGCCCAGCCCAGAAAGUAUUUUUUUAAAUUGAAAAUAAGACAGUAUACUCCACAAAUCUUCUACCGGCUCCAUUGUGGAUUGAAUUAGAUGAUUCUCCCUAUUGUUUGCUAUGUGUCCAGUUUUUCUGGGCACUCUCCACUUCCCGAGGACACUGCCUAUCUCCCCAACCCAGGGCCAUUUCUCAACCUACUUCUCCUUCUCCUACUACAGGGGGCGGACUUCCCAACAUGAGCACCUACAUUUCGCCGUGGAUGGGAUCCACUUGUACUCUCUGAGGUGCUCAGGCAGAUUCCUUCCUUACGGAAGGGGGUCUGAUACUUAAUCACCCCAUGCGCUAAGUACACACAUCAUGUGCGAUCCAUCAGGAUAACCCCACACAACCUGCCAGUUCUUUCCUUGUAGUGGGUGCCCAAUAAAUGUCUGAAUGCAUAAAGAAAGCACUCAGAUAAACAGAGACAUUUGAGAGCUCUCUGGGGAUGAGAAAAGAGAGAGCUAUGGGAGUGAGAAUUAACUUGAUUGACUAUGGCUGGACCUGGCAAAGAACAACUCAGAAAACUCAGAAGUAUUGGCCUCGCAAUUACCUUGUUCAGGCUGCUUAAUCAAUAUUAAAAGUUUGCUGCUCCCACACAAUUUUGCCAAGCUCUCCAACCCUGUGAGGAUGUCAACAGUUGAAAAGGAAGAAAUAAUAAGCCCAGCCUGUAUUUGCAGGGGAGUGUUAAAACUGCCAGUGGAGCAGGAUAGUUUGCUAAACAGCCAGUUAAGAACUUUCCCAAACUGGUCAGCAGCAUUGCACACAGAAGUCCCUUUUUUCGUUGACA
Molecule: small RNA, 873 nt
Filed under: Pongo abelii (Sumatran orangutan)
Lineage: Eukaryota; Metazoa; Chordata; Mammalia; Primates; Hominidae
Description: sense intronic
Source: RNAcentral